Molecule: ribosomal RNA, 497 nt
Filed under: uncultured bacterium
Lineage: Bacteria
Description: partial 16S ribosomal RNA
Rfam family: Bacterial small subunit ribosomal RNA
Source: RNAcentral
GACGAACGCUGGCGGCGUGCCUAAUACAUGCCAGUUGAGCGAUGAAGAUUGGUGCUUGCACCAAUUUGAAGAGCAGCGAACGGGUGAGUAACGCGUGGGGAAUCUGCCUUUGAGCGGGGGACAACAUUUGGAAACGAAUGCUAAUACCGCAUAAUAACUUUAAACAUAAGUUUUAAGUUUGAAAGAUGCAAUUGCAUCACUCAAAGAUGAUCCCGCGUUGUAUUGGCUAGUUGGUGAGGUAAAGGCUCACCAAGGCGAUGAUACAUAGCCGACCUGAGAGGGUGAUCGGCCACAUUGGGACUGAGACACGGCCCAAACUCCUACGGGAGGCAGCAGUAGGGAAUCUUCGGCAAUGGACGAAAGUCUGACCGAGCAACGCCGCGUGAGUGAAGAAGGUUUUCGGAUCGUAAAACUCUGUUGGUAGAGAAGAACGUUGGUGAGAGUGGAAAGCUCAUCAAGUGACGGUAACUACCCAGAAAGGGACGGCUAACUACGUG